This 498-nucleotide long non-coding RNA is filed under the name Anser brachyrhynchus (Pink-footed goose). RNAcentral describes it as "lncRNA (ENSABRG00000020929.1)". Lineage: Eukaryota; Metazoa; Chordata; Aves; Anseriformes; Anatidae. The record is from RNAcentral.
AUGUGUUUGAUUUACAGCCUUUUCAGAUUGUUCACAUUGUUGCUGUGAUAUGUGGCACUUCCAGGAAGAGCAGUACUGCACCAGGAAAGCUCGAUAAAGCCCCAGCGUUACAACGUCACCUUGAGAGGAACUGGGCAAAUAAAGUAAUGACUGCGUGUUUCAGUAACUUCUUCCUAAUAUUUAUGGGUCAGGUUGUCAGACAUGAACAGCAGGGUCAGCCAACUUCUUUUCUACGUAUCAGAUGAAGAGGAUGAGAGGAAGCAGUUUCAACAGUUAUUCUACCACACCACUGGGAUCUAGGCUGGUUACAGCACUAGCAGUCGUUUCUGACCUGUUUCCAGUCAAGGAUUUUGGCUGUUGCAGCAUUUGUAGAAUGAAGAUGAAUGCAGAAAUGGUGGAACCUAUUCUUACUGAUUCACUGAACAAGAAAGAAAAUAAAAUGUAAAGGCUGGAGAAGCUGAGGAGAAAAAAAAUCUGGUAGUUUCUCAGGUGAAUAUG